This is a non-coding RNA of Schizosaccharomyces pombe (fission yeast), 1092 nucleotides long. The record is from the annotation of a GenBank genome assembly. NCBI's taxonomy places the organism in Eukaryota, Fungi, Ascomycota, Schizosaccharomycetes, Schizosaccharomycetales, Schizosaccharomycetaceae.
AUGAUUAAAUCACAUUCAUUGCAAUAGGAAACUGUAUUCGGUAUAUACAAUCGGUAUUGCAUGUUGUACCAAGUAUAAUAUAGUGAUGAGAUUUUGAAGUUUGUGUUCUAUUACCACAUGGAACUACGUCAGGAGUGGAGACCAUAAUCGUUGUAAGUAUGUUGACAAACUUUAUCCAAAGGGUAAAAACUCAGUUCUUCGAGUUAUAAAUCGGACCAGAGUUGCCGCAAUUGAAACGAAUUAGAUAAGUGAACAGGGCAUGCUUAGCAAGUACAAACCAGUAUAAUUAGAAUUGAAUUAACAAAGGUAAAACUUGAACGUUCAUGUUUGUAUACUCAAAAGAAUCAACGGAGUUGUGAAAUUUUCUUAGUGGAGUUUACUCAUUGAUUUUUUACCACUUACACACAUAAGUCUUAUACUUGCCAAGUUGAAUGGUACCAUUAGUACCAGUACUAGUGUCAUCUAGUGUCAGUACUAGUGUCAGUAUAGGCAUCAACAUCAUCACCAGUAUCGGCGCCAGCAUCAGCACAGCACCACUACCACUACCACUUCCACUUACCACUUCCACUUACCACUUCCAUUACUACCACGACUACCACUAACCAUCACCACUUUCAUCUCCAUUCUUGUCAUUAUUGGCUUGUUGUACGUUGUUCAAAUGUUUCAACGUAUGUACAUUUGUGACUACGAUUUCUUGUUAGCGAUAUAAACGAAGAGGAUAAAGACUUUGGAGUAAAUAAUUUUGGCCGUGCCACUAGCAUAAUGUAUUUGUGCGUCUAGGUAUCCUGCGUCUCGGUAUCCUUAGCGUUGCAAGUGGAAAGUGGCUUCACACUAUAAAUGGUUGACACAGCUAAUACAUUAGACAUAAACUUUCUCAGCAUUCACGAACAGUAAAAAUACUAUUGGUAAAUGAUUCAUGGAUAUAUAGUAUUAGUAUUUGGCAUUCGUUUCGCUUAUGAAUUGUGAUUGAACCGAUAUCGUAUCAUCAUUAAAAGUUUCCUGUACAUCUUCUACAUCAUUCAAACAUGUGGAAGAAUCAUAAAUUUCACAAAAAUAAUGUCUCAAUCGCAUACGUAUUGUCUGCUCUGACUU